This is a long non-coding RNA of Oreochromis niloticus (Nile tilapia), 1528 nucleotides long. RefSeq lists it as uncharacterized. The transcript has 2 exons. The record is from RefSeq and is a predicted model, not a curated record. NCBI's taxonomy places the organism in Eukaryota, Metazoa, Chordata, Actinopteri, Cichliformes, Cichlidae.
AACAAAGGCAGAGGUUAAGAGUAAUUCAGGCUUUUCCUUGCAUGUCAUGUAGCUGAUACCUGCUGUCUUGUGUGGUCUCCUGGUUGUCUGGGCUGUUGUCAGCUGCAUGAGUGUUACUGCCUGCUACACAGAUUUCCUCAGACGGACGUGAUCUGACAUCACAUCUGUUAGUCUGACGUCUGUCCACAGUCGAAGACUCUAUGACUGAAGCAAAAAUGUCUUUAAACGCCGCCAGAGAGCGUUUGACAGUCUGAGGAGUGAUCAGUGACUUUGCUGUCAAAGGAGGCACUGGAGCUCCUCCUAGAGGUUCAGGCCUCUUGGGAUGAAGCUGCUGAGGCUUUGAGGACAUGUUCUCCAAAUCUUCAGCUACAUUGUUGACAUGCCACCAUCCGCCCAGGGCUCUCCUUCUCCAUUUGGCUGAAUCUGCUUCCGUGAGCCGCUCCUUAAGUCGACUUUGCGACACGGGCACUUUUGGUGUGACUGAUAGUUUUCCAAUAGGAUCGUGCUGAUAUCAGUCUGACUCUGAAAAACCCCACACAGGGAAACAUUGGGAGAUACACAUGUUACGUCUGGAGAAAGGGAGACAUAAUCAGAUCGAAAACAGUGAUGUUCAAAGUAAGUUUCUCGGGUGCCAUUGUCUAGAUAUUGAACUUUGGUUUUAUUAUAUUAAUUUCCUCUUUAUGAUAGAAUGAACUUUAAUGUCCUCUUGUUUAACCUUCACCCAGGAGUACCCGAAGCUAGCGUGCAGCUAACAGGCUGCACUCUGCUGGGACAGGACAAAGGACAAAGGCAUUAUGUUGGUUUUUCUGAAUCUUUGGUUUUUAUUUAGCCUUUUCUCUAUUUUUUUUCAAUGAGUCUUAGCUGCACACAGCCUUUGAAACACAUGUUCAACAAGAAGCCACAGAAACCUUUAUCACAUUAAAGUCUCAUUGUUUCUGUACAGAUUUUCAUGUAUUCACAUGUGUUUGGCUCCCAGAGUGUCGAUUCCUCCUUCUGUCUCAUCUUCCUCUGUUCUCUGUUACCUGGUCUUUCAGAGUACUGUUAGGGUGAUAUUCUGCCAAGUGUGAAGUUGAUGAGCUUCACAGUUACAACAGGUUAACAUGUCUGAAUAACAUGAUGAAAGUACAAGCAUGAACAUUUUAAACAUGUUUUUAUAUUUAUUUAUAUUUCAACAAUAUGUUUUAAUCCAGCAGUUUAAGGUCGGGCUCAGACUAAAGUCUGUGCUAAGACGACACCAUUGCAAAAUGUUCAUUUAGUUUUUCAGAGGUGGGCUUUCUGCAUCAUUACCCUGUUGCAUAAUCUGAGUGAGCUAAAGGGCAUGAACUGAUAGCUUCAUAUUCUCCUUCAGGAUUAUCAGAUAGGGAGCAGAAUUCAUGUUCAUCAAGUGAGACAAAUUGUCCAGAAGCAGCAAAGCAGCCCAGACCAUCACACUACAACCGCCAUGUUUGACUGUUGGUAUGAUGUUCUUUUUAUGAAAUGCUGUUAUUUUCAGUGCAGAUGUAAGGGGACUAAGACUUUCCAGAAAGAU